GGAUGGGUGUCCGAGUGGUUUAAGGAACCGGUCUUGAAAACCGGCGUGCGUGAGAGCGUACCGUGGGUUCGAAUCCCACCCCAUCUG
Spinacia oleracea (spinach) is the source of this 87-nucleotide non-coding RNA. The record is from Rfam. NCBI's taxonomy places the organism in Eukaryota, Viridiplantae, Streptophyta, Magnoliopsida, Caryophyllales, Amaranthaceae.